This 316-nucleotide ribosomal RNA is filed under the name Diderma alpinum. RNAcentral's name for it is "bacterial SSU rRNA". It matches the Rfam family "Eukaryotic small subunit ribosomal RNA", at positions 80 to 350 of the family's 1831-position model. Lineage: Eukaryota; Evosea; Eumycetozoa; Physariida; Didymiaceae. The record is from RNAcentral.
UCUGAAUCUGCGAACGGCUCCGCAAACCAGUUGUAAACUAUAGCAAGCAUGCUCGGGAUUUGGCCCUCACGGGUUGGGUUUCGGGUGAUAAGGAUAACCCUGGUAAUUCUGAGGCUAAUACUAGAACGCAAAAACUUGACUGACCGGUUUUACUGGGAGGUUGGGGGGCGUGCAAGUGGGUUUCGCAUAGGAUAACCGGGAAGGGGUGCACGUUUGGACCGCGAUAAAGACAGACUGGUUUCGGCCGGCCUGAGCGGCACUUGCGUUGUGCUUCUGACCUAUCAACUAGAUGGCAGCGUAACGGACAUGCUAUGGU